AAGCGGAGGAACAUGUGGUUUAAUUCGAUGAUACGCGAGGACCUUACCUGGGCUUAAAUGGGGAGUGACAGCUGUCGAAAGAUGGUUUUCUUCGGACACUCUUCAAGGUGCUGCAUGGUUGUCGUCAGCUCGUGCCGUGAGGUGUCGGGUUAAGUCCCAUAACGAGCGCAACCCUUACCGUUAGUUACCAUCAGGUUAAGCUGGGGACUCUAGCGGGACUGCCACCGUAAGGUGAGAGGAAGGUGGGGAUGACGUCAAAUCAGCACGGCCCUUAUGUCCAGGGCUACACACGUGUUACAAUGGCCGGUACAAAGGGCAGCUACUUCGCGAGAAGAUGCUAAUCUCGAAAGCCGGUCUCAGUUCGGAUCGAAGUCUGCAACCCGACUUCGUGAAGCUGGAUUCGCUAGUAAUCGCGCAUCAGCCAUGGCGCGGUGAAUACGUUCCCGGGCCUU
This 452-nucleotide ribosomal RNA is filed under the name uncultured Sphingobacteriales bacterium. Its description in RNAcentral is "bacterial SSU rRNA". It matches the Rfam family "Bacterial small subunit ribosomal RNA", at positions 927 to 1382 of the family's 1533-position model. The record is from RNAcentral. Lineage: Bacteria; Pseudomonadati; Bacteroidota; Sphingobacteriia; Sphingobacteriales.